GGGGAUUUAGCUCAGCGGUAGAGCACUUGCCUAGCAAGUGCAAGGCCCUGGGUUCGAUCCCCAGCUCCG
This is a non-coding RNA of Rattus norvegicus (Norway rat), 69 nucleotides long. NCBI's taxonomy places the organism in Eukaryota, Metazoa, Chordata, Mammalia, Rodentia, Muridae. The record is from Rfam.